RNAcentral lists this ribosomal RNA (497 nucleotides) under uncultured bacterium. RNAcentral's name for it is "partial 16S ribosomal RNA". It matches the Rfam family "Bacterial small subunit ribosomal RNA", at positions 28 to 507 of the family's 1533-position model. The record is from RNAcentral.
GAUGAACGCUGGCGGCGUGCCUAAUACAUGCAAGUCGAGCGAACGGACGAGAAGCUUGCUUCUCUGAUGUUAGCGGCGGACGGGUGAGUAACACGUGGAUAACCUACCUAUAAGACUGGGAUAACUUCGGGAAACCGUAGCUAAUACCGGAUAAUAUUUUGAACCGCAUGGUUCAAAAGUGAAAGACGGUCUUGCUGUCACUUAUAGAUGGAUCCGCGCUGCAUUAGCUAGUUGGUAAGGUAACGGCCUACCAAGGCAACGAUGCAUAGCCGACCUGAGAGGGUGAUCGGCCACACGGGAACGGAGACACGGUCCAGACGCCUACGGGAGGCAGCAGUAGGGAAUCUUCCGCAAUGGGCGAAAGCCUGACGGAGCAACGCCGCGUGAGUGAUGAAGGUCUUCGGAUCGUAAAACUCUGUUAUGAGGGAAGAACAGAUGUGUAAGUAACUGUGCACAUCUUGACGGUACCUAAUCAGAAAGCCACGGCUAACUACGUG